UACGGGGGGGGCAAGCGUUGUUCGGAAUUACUGGGCGUAAAGGGUUCGUAGGUGGCCCGCUAAGUCACACGUGAAAUCCCUCAGCUUAACUGGGGAACUGCGUGUGAGACUGGCAGGCUUGAGUGCAGGAGAGGAACGCGGAAUUCCAGGUGUAGCGGUGAAAUGCGUAGAUAUCUGGAGGAACACCGGUGGCGAAGGCGGCAUCCUGGACCGGUAUUGACGCUGAGGCGCGAAAGCUAGGGGAGCAAACGGG
Molecule: ribosomal RNA, 253 nt
Filed under: uncultured bacterium
Lineage: Bacteria
Description: partial 16S ribosomal RNA
Rfam family: Bacterial small subunit ribosomal RNA
Source: RNAcentral